Molecule: ribosomal RNA, 245 nt
Filed under: uncultured bacterium
Lineage: Bacteria
Description: partial small subunit ribosomal RNA
Rfam family: Bacterial small subunit ribosomal RNA
Source: RNAcentral
AGAAUCAACGCUGGCGGCGUGCCUAACACAUGCAAGUCGAACGAGAAAGUGGAGCAAUCCAUGAGUAAAGUGGCGCACGGGUGAGUAACACGUGACUAACCUACCCUGGAGUGGGGAAUAACUGAGGGAAACCUUAGCUAAUACCGCAUAAUACCUACGGGUCAAAGGAGCAAUUCGCUUCAGGAGGGGGUCGCGGCCGAUUAGCUAGUUGGCGGGGUAAUGGCCCACCAAGGCAAUGAUCGGUA